AAUGGGGGAAACCCUGACCCAGCGACGCCGCGUGAGGGAAGAAGGCCUUCGGGUCGUAAACCUCUGUCAGGAGGGAAGAAGUGGAUAGUUCCGAACAGGGGCUUUCCUUGACGGUACCUCCAGAGGAAGCACCGGCUAACUCCGUGCCAGCAGCCGCGGUAAUACGGAGGGUGCAAGCGUUAUUCGGAAUCACUGGGCGUAAAGCGCACGUAGGCGGCCUAGCAAGUCAGGUGUGAAAGCCCUCGGCUCAACCGAGGAAUUGCACUUGAAACUGCCUGGCUACGAGUCCUGGAGAGGGUGGCGGAAUUCCUGGUGUAGGAGUGAAAUCCGUAGAUAUCAGGAGGAACACCGGUGGCGAAGGCGGCCACCUGGACAGGUACUGACGCUGAGGUACGAAAGCGUGGGUAGCAAA
This 412-nucleotide ribosomal RNA is filed under the name uncultured bacterium. RNAcentral describes it as "bacterial SSU rRNA". It matches the Rfam family "Bacterial small subunit ribosomal RNA", at positions 370 to 772 of the family's 1533-position model. The record is from RNAcentral.